GAUCAUGGCUCAGGAUGAACGCUGGCGGCGUGCUUAACACAUGCAAGUCGAACGAAGCACUUUACUUGAUUUCCUUCGGGGAUGAUUGUCCUGUGACUGAGUGGCGGACGGGUGAGUAACGCGUGGAUAACCUGCCUCACACAGGGGGAUAACAGUUGGAAACGACUGCUAAUACCGCAUAAGCGCACAGCACCGCAUGGUGCAGUGUGAAAAACUCCGGUGGU
RNAcentral lists this ribosomal RNA (224 nucleotides) under uncultured bacterium. Its description in RNAcentral is "partial 16S ribosomal RNA". It matches the Rfam family "Bacterial small subunit ribosomal RNA", at positions 15 to 219 of the family's 1533-position model. The record is from RNAcentral.